UCGGGAAUUUUGGGCAAUGGGCGAAAGCCUGACCCAGCAACGCCGCGUGAAGGAUGAAGUAUUUCGGUAUGUAAACUUCGAAAGAAUAGGAAGAAUAAAUGACGGUACUAUUUAUAAGGUCCGGCUAACUACGUGCCAGCAGCCGCGGUAAUACGUAGGGACCAAGCGUUGUUCGGAUUUACUGGGCGUAAAGGGCGCGUAGGCGGCAAUUCAAGUCAUCUGUGAAAUCUCCGGGCUUAACUCGGAACGGUCAGAUGAUACUGCUUUGCUAGAGUGCAGAAGGGGCAAUCGGAAUUCUUGGUGUAGCGGUGAAAUGCGUAGAUAUCAAGAGGAACACCUGAGGUGAAGACGGGUUGCUGGGCUGACACUGACGCUGAGGCGCGAAAGCGUGGGGAGCAAACAGGAUUAGAUACCCAUGUAGUCCCUGAGCGGGCUGGCAAGGCGCAU
This 447-nucleotide ribosomal RNA is filed under the name uncultured bacterium. RNAcentral's name for it is "bacterial SSU rRNA". It matches the Rfam family "Bacterial small subunit ribosomal RNA", at positions 355 to 825 of the family's 1533-position model. The record is from RNAcentral.